CAGUCGCCACGGUAAUACGUAGGUGGCAAGCGUUGUCCGGAAUUAUUGGGCGUAAAGCGCGCGUAGGCGGUUUUUCAAGUCUGAUGUGAAAGCCCACGGCUCAACCGUGGAGGGUCAUUGGAAACUGGAAAACUUGAGUGCAGAAGAGGAAAGUGGAAUUCCAUGUGUAGCGGUGAAAUGCGCAGAGGUAUGGAGGAACACCAGUGGCGAAGGCGACUUUCUGGUCUGUAACUGACGCUGAUGUGCGAAAGCGUGGGGAUCAAACAGGAUUAGAGACCCCCGUAGUCCCUGUCUCUUAUAC
This 301-nucleotide ribosomal RNA is filed under the name uncultured bacterium. RNAcentral describes it as "partial 16S ribosomal RNA". It matches the Rfam family "Bacterial small subunit ribosomal RNA", at positions 509 to 807 of the family's 1533-position model. The record is from RNAcentral.